UACGAAGGGUGCAAGCGUUACUCGGAAUUACUGGGCGUAAAGCGUGCGUAGGUGGUGAGUUACGUCUGUCGUGAAAGCCCCGGGCUCAACCUGGGAAUGGCGAUGGAUACUGGCUCGCUAGAGUGCGGUAGAGGAGAGUGGAAUUCCCGGUGUAGCAGUGAAAUGCGUAGAGAUCGGGAGGAACAUCAGUUGCGAAGGCGGCUCUCUGGACCAGCACUGACACUGAGGCACGAAAGCGUGGGGAGCAAACAGG
Molecule: ribosomal RNA, 253 nt
Filed under: uncultured bacterium
Lineage: Bacteria
Description: partial 16S ribosomal RNA
Rfam family: Bacterial small subunit ribosomal RNA
Source: RNAcentral